Long non-coding RNA from Cornus florida, 3705 nucleotides. RefSeq lists it as uncharacterized. NCBI's taxonomy places the organism in Eukaryota, Viridiplantae, Streptophyta, Magnoliopsida, Cornales, Cornaceae. The record is from RefSeq and is a predicted model, not a curated record. The transcript is spliced from 9 exons.
CUCCGAAGAAAACUGUUAAGACAUCGGAUUUCACAUUCUCUUCAUUUAGUGGUGGCUUGAUAUCCUGCCACAUGAGGAUAUCAGUGGGAAGAUCACACCUGCCCUUUUAAAGGGCAUAGAAAGUCAUGAUUGGAAGAUUUGUUUGGAAUCUAUUGAAGCUGUCAACAAAAUCUUGGAAGAGGCCAGUAAGUGCAUUUAGCCAACCGGAACUGUGGAUUUAUUCAGAUCACUUAGAAGACGCCUAUUCGACAUCAAUAAAAAAUUAGUUAUGGCAAGUUUGGCUGCUGUAGGUGCUGCCGCAUCUGCAAUGGUUAAGUCAAGCAAGGGCAUUCUAUCAGGCGAUUUGAAAUGCCUGGGUGACAAUAAAAAGAAAUUUGACAGAAUCUUCUUUGACUACUUUAGAUUCUUGGCUUGCUGCUGUACAUCUUGACAAAACGGUUAUCUUUUAGAUGGUGAGUGAGAGAUGUUCGAAAAAGAAGUGAGAUGAGAUGUACAAAAAAAAAAAAAAAAAAAGAAAGAAAGAAAGAAAAAAAAAAAGGAUGUCAGAUUUGUAUGAGAAAAAAAGAGAGAAGUAGGGAAAGAAAAUGUGAGAAGAAAGAAAAUAGACUAUAUGAAAAGGAAAAAAAAAAAAGAGAGGGAGAAGUUGCGAUAAAAGAGGGAGAAUGAGUUGCAUGUGAAAAAAAAAAAAAAAGAUUUAAAAGGAAAAAAAAAGAAGAGGGAGAUUGGGUUAGAUGUGAAAAAAAAGAGUAAAAAAUGAGGCACUGAAGGCAUAUAAUAUUAUUCGUUGUGCUGUGGUGAAAAUCUACCCACUGUUCGACGAUCUUGUCAUAAUCCUAUCAGGUUGUUGUUUCGAGUUUUAGGAAAGCAGAACAUGGUUGGGUGCUUCAAUGCGAUAUGGAACUUUCUUUUUGGGUGGUAAAUAAUAUUAAUUCAAGUGGUUUUCCUUUCUAUACUUGCCCAUAUUUUUUUGCUUAGCGAAUAUACGUAGUAUUUUCUCUCUUAUAAUUAAUUUUAGUUUUGACAGUUCUGUGGUUUGCUUGAACAUGGCAGGGAAGAUUGUGAAAAUGAAUUUAAGGUAGCUUAGCAUUUUGUCGAUUGGGAACGAUUUUUGUUUUUGGGUUUUGUGAUAUGAGAGUGCAAAUAUAAGAGAUGGGGCUUGACAAUGAAUACAGUACCAUUAGGGGUGAUGUGGUCGUGGAUCGUGGGUUGUUUGAUUUCAUGGGAAAGGAGGAGGAGGAGAAGCCUCAAGAGGCGUGAAAAUGCUUGUUCCCUAGUAUGAUAAUUUAUGCAUACUUAUCAUGUAUAUUUGUUUAAUUUAUUUAUGAAUUUGUGUCUAGAAAUACAUGCCAUAAACUUUGAAUUGUUCAAUCAAGAGUCAAUUAAAAAGAUAAAAGUUUGGAAACACAAUUUUGAAAUUGAUUCUUAUUAAACAUAGAAGUUUGAAUAAUUUCUAGUAAAAGUUUCGGUUUAUUUAUUUCUUUAUAGUAAGAAACUUGUGAAAUUAUUCACACACACACUAACUCACAUUUAUAUGAUCUUUCUUCAAAGUUGUGAACUUAGACUCAAAUAAUGAGUAACAUCUUAAGGUGAUAUAAGAUGAUGGCAUUUGAAAAAAAAUAUGUGAGGUGCAACGCAAAAAGAAAAAAAAGAGAGCGUGUUUUUGCAGUUGAAAAGAAACGAAAAAUCUCCAAUGAGAUGGCUGCAAAAAGUUUCUUAUGAAAAAGGCUACCUAGUGAGAUCAGACCGAAAGCUUCCUUGACUCGAAAAAAAUGGGAAUAAGGGAAAAUAGCUGGCUACUCAUUAGAGUGAAAGCCGUCAUAGAAACACAAGAAAAAAACAAGAGAGGUUUCAAAAAGGAAAAGAAAAGAGAGAAAAUUCUCCAAUGAGAUGGCGGCAAAAAGUUUCUUAUGAAAAAGGCUACCUAGUGAGAUCAGACCGAAAGCUUCCUUGACUCGAAAAAAAUGGGAAUAAGGGAAAAUAGCUGGCUACCCAUUAGAGUGAAAGCCGUCAUAGAAACACAAAAGAAAAACAAGAGAGGUUUCAAAAAGAAAAAGAAAAUAGUGAAAAUUCACAUGCUUUUUAAAUCUUUGAAUCUUGUGUGAAAUUUAUUUUUGUUUUUGAACACAAAUUUGAAACUGAUUAUAUUUGUGUUGAGUUUAUUUCUAAUGCACAUAUAAUGGACUAAGUUGACUACUAUUGAUUUAUAAAUGGGCUAGAAAUCUUUGAACCUAAUUAUGAGAAUUUUUAUGUUUAUAAAGAUAAUAGAAUAAAAAUUUGUGGCUCCAAAUAAUGUUCAAUUUGAUUGAUGAUUUAUUGACACUUCAAAAACCUUGGCAUGUUUAGAUUUAUAUAUUUAUAUGUGUCUUUGCAUAUCAUCACAAAACUGAAAAAUGACAAAAAUAUAUUUCUUUAUAAUUUUGUUUAUUUGUGUCUUUAUUUAUUUAUUUGAUCAUAUGAGAGAUCAUGUAGGGCGUAUGAGGACUUAAAAUUGCAAAAGAAGCAAUUUAGGGCAUUUUUAGGUACGUCGCUCGAAGCUAUAGCAAGGCUCCAUCGAUUGACCCUUGAAAUCAAAUCAAUCGAUGCAAGUGUCACUCAGUUCCAGUGAGUUUGCAACUCGUCUCUGUCUCAUUUGGUCUACCAGCAUCAGCUGGACCGAGUGGUCCUGAAACUGCAUUAAGAGAACCCCGUGGCCACCUAUCAAAACUGUCAGAACAGCGUCUAGAAGUUCCACUGCGCCUCUUUGCCUAUCUCUACAAACCAGAGGUUCCGGUUCUGAUUGCAGGAGCCAUAUCUGCAAUUAUUAAUGAAGAAGGGAGUUGUGCUUAGAAGGAAAGCAUAAUAUUUGGAACUAGUCAAGGAUCCUGAUGGAGCAUACUCUCAGCUCAUAUGAUUUCUAGAAGUGAGCAAGACAAGUCAUAAAUUACUAUGGAAUCUGGUAGACAGUCGAGUCAAAAAAUUUCAUUCCUGCGUUCCACAAGUUGGGAAUCAUCUGGAGGAGGAAACAACAAUCAGCUCCCACUCUGUCUCACAAGGGAGAGUUUGGCUUGGCUGGGUGCUUUUAUAUGUUUUAGAAGUUUUGUUUAGGAAGGUCUUUACGGCAGGCAUCUCCGAUUUUCCUUGCAUGAGUGCAUUUGCUGCAAGUCAAGCUGCUGCAUUACAGAUGUUUGAGACUAUAAAUAAGACUAUAGAGAUAGAUGCAUAUGACAUGAAGGGAAAAGUGUUGGAUGACAUUAGUCUACUCUAAGCGGAGCUUUUUGAGAGGUUGAUGAUGUUAUCAACCAGAUCCAGACAGAGAACUUCACAAAUAUCUAAACCAGGCAACCGAACUCCCUGCUUCUACUUACGCUGCAACUGGAACAUUUGAGGAAGACAAAUAAGGCAAGACUCCUGGAAAUGAAGAAGAACCUUCGACCUGAGACAAUCCAAAGGAGAAAUAUGGAGCAGAGUGCCUGGAGAUAUAGAGUUAAGUGAUGUCCAUUUUUGUUAUUCAGCCCGACCAGAUGAUAGUGCAUUCUCUCUUUCCAUCCCUAGUUGCACAACUGUAGCUUUGGUUGGACAGAGUGGAAGAGCUUAAUGGAUUAGGGAGAGAAUUGGUCUCGUCAGCCAAGAACCCGUGUUGUUUGCAUCCAGCAUUGAGGAUAAUUUUGUGUAUGGGAAGGAUGGGACAACAAUUGAGGAUAUUAGAGCUGCAGCUGAGCUAGUAAA